Molecule: ribosomal RNA, 390 nt
Filed under: uncultured Arcobacter sp.
Lineage: Bacteria; Pseudomonadati; Campylobacterota; Epsilonproteobacteria; Campylobacterales; Arcobacteraceae
Description: bacterial SSU rRNA
Rfam family: Bacterial small subunit ribosomal RNA
Source: RNAcentral
GACUUUAAGUAGAUUAGAGUGUGCUAGCUUGCUAGAAUUUAGAUACAGGUGCUGCACGGCUGUCGUCAGCUCGUGUCGUGAGAUGUUGGGUUAAGUCCCGCAGCGAGCGCAACCUCGUGUUUAGUUGCUAACAGUUCGGCUGAGAACUCUAAACAGACUGCCUACGCAAGUAGGAGGAAGGUGAGGACGACGUCAAGUCAUCAUGGCCCUUACGGCCAGGGCUACACACGUGCUACAAUGGGGUAUACAAAGAGCAGCGAUACGGUGACGUGGAGCAAAUCUAGAAAAUGCCUCUCAGUUCGGAUUGUAGUCUGCAACUCGACUACAUGAAGUUGGAAUCGCUAGUAAUCGUAGAUCAGCAAUGCUACGGUGAAUACGUUCCCGGGUCUU